Cottoperca gobio is the source of this 74-nucleotide small nucleolar RNA. NCBI's taxonomy places the organism in Eukaryota, Metazoa, Chordata, Actinopteri, Perciformes, Bovichtidae. The record is from Ensembl.
CUGGAGAUGAUGCAUAAAAACAUUAAACACCUGAUUGUCCAUGAAGGCUUUUGUAUUCAUACUGUCUGAUCCAG